Molecule: ribosomal RNA, 708 nt
Filed under: uncultured Marinobacter sp.
Lineage: Bacteria; Pseudomonadati; Pseudomonadota; Gammaproteobacteria; Pseudomonadales; Marinobacteraceae
Description: bacterial SSU rRNA
Rfam family: Bacterial small subunit ribosomal RNA
Source: RNAcentral
AGGCUUAACACAUGCAAGUCGAGCGGUAACAGGGGUAGCUUGCUACCCGCUGACGAGCGGCGGACGGGUGAGUAAUGCUUAGGAAUCUGCCCAGUAGUGGGGGAUAGCCCGGGGAAACCCGGAUUAAUACCGCAUACGUCCUACGGGAGAAAGCAGGGGAUCUUCGAACCUUGCGCUAUUGGAUGAGCCUAAGUCGGAUUAGCUAGUUGGUGGGGUAAAGGCCUACCAAGGCGACGAUCCGUAGCUGGUCUGAGAGGAUGAUCAGCCACAUCGGGACUGAGACACGGCCCGAACUCCUACGGGAGGCAGCAGUGGGGAAUAUUGGACAAUGGGGGCAACCCUGAUCCAGCCAUGCCGCGUGUGUGAAGAAGGCUUUCGGGUUGUAAAGCACUUUCAGUAGGGAGGAAAACCUUAUGGCUAAUACCCAUGAGGCUUGACGUUACCUACAGAAGAAGCACCGGCUAACUCCGUGCCAGCAGCCGCGGUAAUACGGAGGGUGCAAGCGUUAAUCGGAAUUACUGGGCGUAAAGCGCGCGUAGGUGGUUUGGUAAGCGAGAUGUGAAAGCCCCGGGCUUAACCUGGGAACGGCAUUUCGAACUGUCAGACUAGAGUGUGGUAGAGGGUAGUGGAAUUUCCUGUGUAGCGGUGAAAUGCGUAGAUAUAGGAAGGAACACCAGUGGCGAAGGCGGCUACCUGGACCAACACUGA